This 77-nucleotide transfer RNA is filed under the name Roseibium sp. RKSG952. RNAcentral describes it as "tRNA-Arg". It matches the Rfam family "tRNA". From Rfam's summary of the family: Transfer RNA (tRNA) molecules are approximately 80 nucleotides in length. Their secondary structure includes four short double-helical elements and three loops (D, anti-codon, and T loops). Lineage: Bacteria; Pseudomonadati; Pseudomonadota; Alphaproteobacteria; Hyphomicrobiales; Stappiaceae. The record is from RNAcentral.
GGCCCCGUAGCUCAGUAGGAUAGAGCGAGCGCCUCCUAAGCGCUAGGCCACUGGUUCGAAUCCAGUCGGGGUCACCA